ACAAUUAUGAGCUAAGCAGGAACAGCAGUGUCUUCUGUGUCUGUCUAUAUUUAAAAGAGCUUCCUGCCGUCACAUCUGUAUCCUCAGAUCUUUAUCUGAAGCAGGGGAAGGCUGGAAUGAUUCUGAAUUGAGCUGUGGUACAGAGCUGCUGAGCUGCUGGUCAGUCAGUUACAGUUGGAAUCAGUGGUGGCACAUCUGUAGAUGA
This 205-nucleotide long non-coding RNA is filed under the name Anser brachyrhynchus (Pink-footed goose). RNAcentral describes it as "lncRNA (ENSABRG00000017980.1)". Lineage: Eukaryota; Metazoa; Chordata; Aves; Anseriformes; Anatidae. The record is from RNAcentral.